UGUAAGCUGGGAAAAACAAGCACAAAGUGACUCCUUUCCCUUCAAAGAAUUCCAAGGAGGAAUGAGGAGGCUGGGAAAAGCAGGAAGGAAGAAAAUCAGGAGUUCUCUGCCAGAAGGAAAAGCUCCCAGAGCAGCAGAAACAGAAGGAGCUGGGGAAGACAGAAAAUGCCUGGGCACAGAGGAGAAAGCUGAAAUUGCAAAUCCUGCUAUGCAGGGGGAAGGUGGCUACACCCCCAGGGAGAAUUAAGGAAGAGGCAGAAGGGAAGUUCAGAGAGGUUUAAUUUUGUUUAUCACUUUAUUCAAGUUGUCUCCUUGCCUGAAAUGCUUCCAUUUGCUUUGGAAAGAAUCAAUCUAACCACAGAUAUUUCAUCUGACUGCUGUCAGCAGUUUCUUUCUUUGCUGUUUGUCUCUUUCCUUGAAAACAGAAAUCUCUGCUCUCACUCAACAUUCAGGCAGCUCAUGAAAAACUGCAGAGAAGUGAUUCCCUGUCUUGCAUAAUUGGACAUGUUUAUAUUCAGCUUUUAAACAGCAAGCUGGCUGAAUGCUAACUGCCCUUUACUGUGUAUUUAUUUUUUCAAACAAAACAAAGCUAAAAAUACCUUGAUUGAAUGU
This is a long non-coding RNA of Haemorhous mexicanus (house finch), 612 nucleotides long. RefSeq lists it as uncharacterized. Lineage: Eukaryota; Metazoa; Chordata; Aves; Passeriformes; Fringillidae. The record is from RefSeq and is a predicted model, not a curated record. The transcript has 3 exons.